UCUCCGUUGGUGAACCAGCGGAGGGAUCAUUACAGAGUUGCAAAACUCCCAAACCACUGUGAACGUUACCUAUCCCGUUGCUUCGGCGGGCGGCCCGGGCCCCGCGCCCGGCGCCCCCCGGCCCCCCGUGGGCGCCCGCCGGAGGUAAACCAAACCCUUGAAUUGCAUGGCCUCUCUGAGUCUUCUGUACUGAAUAAGUCAAAACUUUCAACAACGGAUCUCUUGGUUCUG
RNAcentral lists this unclassified non-coding RNA (231 nucleotides) under plant metagenome. RNAcentral's name for it is "partial contains small subunit ribosomal RNA, internal transcribed spacer 1, and 5.8S ribosomal RNA". The record is from RNAcentral.